This 1530-nucleotide ribosomal RNA is filed under the name Triticum aestivum (bread wheat). Its description in RNAcentral is "partial small subunit ribosomal RNA". The record is from RNAcentral. Lineage: Eukaryota; Viridiplantae; Streptophyta; Magnoliopsida; Poales; Poaceae.
AUGAGCAGACCCAAGUCCACCCCGCUGAUUAUAGAGCCUAAGUUAUAUGGAAGGGAUAGCCAUAAGAAGAUCAUUGUAGAUGAAAUUGUUAAUAGCGAGGGUCGUGGACUUACUGUGCUUCCAAUUGUUGGCCCGGGGGGUAUCGGGAAGACAACUUUCACACAACAUAUAUAUGAACAAAUGAAGAACCAUUUCCAGAUAUCCAUUUGGAUAUGCGUCUCUCUCGAUUUUAACGCAAAUAGGUUAACGAAAGAUAUCGUUGAAAAAAUCCCCCAAGUUAACAAUGAAAACAAAAAUUGUAGUGCCGAAGAGCUCAUCGAACAAAGAUUAAAAGGAAAGAGGGUUUUACUUGUCUUAGAUGAUGUUUGGGAAUAUCGUGAGGUUGAGUGGAAAAAUGUAAUAGCUCUUUUCAAAAAAGAGGGGGGGAAAGGUAACAUGGUCAUAGUCACGACUCGAAUAUCCGAGGUAGCAAACGCUGUUAAGACAACUAAAUACUCACUAAAACUGGAGCGUUUGUGUUCAGCAGAUAUCAUGUCUUUCUUCGAAGAGUGUGUAUUUGGUGACCAAAAACCAUGGGUUGACCAUCCAGAACUAGUUGACAUUGGGAGCAAAAUAGUGGACAAGCUGAAGGGUUCCCCUCUUGCAGCAAGAACUGUUGGUAGAUUACUAAGAACAAAACUUAUAUUGAACCACUGGAGAAGCGUACUGGAAAGUAAAGAAUGGGAAUCAACAACGGACGAUAAUGAUAUUAUGCCAGCUCUAAAGCUCAGCUAUGAUUAUCUUCCUUUCCAUUUGCAACAAUGUUUUUCUUUUUGUGGUUUGUUUCCUGAAGAUUAUGUGUUUGGUAGUGAAGAGUUGGUUCACUUGUGGAUUGGACUAGACAUUUUACAUUCAGGUGACCAGAAGACAAAAAGACUUGAAGAUGUUGGACUGUGCUAUUUAAAUGACUUGGUAAAUUAUGGAUUUUUUAAAAUGAAUUCAAAAGGAAAUGAGCAUCCUUACUACGAUAUGCAUGACCUAAUGCAUGAGUUGGCAGUGAAGGUUUCAUCCCAUGAGUGUCUUAGCAUAUACAGUUCUAAUGUGAGGGACAUACAAAUUCCCCCAUCUGUACGUCACAUUUCAAUCAUUGUAGAUGACACAGAUAUCAAGGACAAAAUGUCUUUUGAAGAAUAUGAUGGGAAUUUGCGUGCACUUGGUACAAAAUUGGAAGUUGAAAACUCACACACUUUAAUGUUAUUUGGAUAUUACCAUGGAAGGUUUUCCAAAACUUUCGCUAGCUUGUUUGGCGAAGCUAGAGCUCUCCGCAUCAUAUUUUUGUGCGGCACGCAAUAUAACAUUGAGGAUAUAUUGCACAACUUCUCAAAACUAGUCCAUCUGCGGUACUUGAGGAUCGAGACGGGGCUUUACCGGCCUUUGUUCUUACCUUGUGCGUUGUUUAGAUUGUAUCAUUUAGUAGUCAUUGAUCUACAACGUGAGUAUAGAUGCCUUGAAUCAACUGCACAUAUGAGCAACCUCGUAAAAAAAAUAUGA